Molecule: long non-coding RNA, 1275 nt
Organism: Gossypium raimondii (Peruvian cotton)
Lineage: Eukaryota; Viridiplantae; Streptophyta; Magnoliopsida; Malvales; Malvaceae
Exons: 2
Source: RefSeq, a predicted model, not a curated record
UUUAAAAAUAAAAGCUGUAAAAGAAACAAGCAUUCUCCUACAUCUUGGACUUGGGUCCAAAUAAAACAACAGCAUACAUCAGGCAAUAAACGAAAAUGGCCCAUAAAUAAAUAAAGAAAUAAAACUGAUAAAAACCUGCUCCUACUAAUGCCAGUCGACAACAACAGUUGUCCUCUUAAAGUCACGUCUUGUCAUCUGAACCGCCACAGCCGUUGGAAAUAGCAGAAUUGCUCAAAUCUCAUCAAAUCUUUAAUCUUCUGCUACAAGUUUUCAAAAAGAGCCGUUUCUUAUUCUUUAACCUGGUUCUCUCAACCUUAUCCUCUCCACCGCUCUUCGAACACAGUCUGGGAUGCUGCCUUCCAGAUAAUGACUUUCGUUUUUUUUCAAAGCUUCUCUAGUAGUAAUAUGAGCAAAGAAAUUUUCUGAUUUUGGGAUGAAAUGAAACCCCAAUUCUUGAAAAUGUAUUUAUAAGUUUUGGAUAUCUCUAAUGAGUGCUCCGAUGAUUGAUCUAUCAUAUUUUGUACUCUGGCAUUUCUUGAUAACUGUUCUAGAAUCACCCAAAAUAUUGCAUGCAUUAGAACCCAUGGAAAUACCUAACCUUAUUGCAUCUAAUCCUGCAAGAGCCUCUUCCGCGAACGGUUAUGCUACAUCAACAUGGAGUACCGAUUUGGACGCCAAGAUUUCCCCAUCCACCUCUCGGACUAUCAACCCCGAGGCUGAUCUGAAAUACUGUUGGUCGAAAGCCGCAUCAAAGUUGGAUGUGUUCUUUGUUAAACCUGUUUGAGAACUCUGUCAGAGUCUAAGCUAAGUAUUUUCUCCUCUACUUCUUGCAACUCUGAAACAUAACUUAUUAUUUGAUUGGAAAUAUCAGUGCUGGUACUAUUUCUAUUUUCAUAAAGGAGCUUAUUUUUACUUGUCCAGAUAAGCCAGAGCCCACAGCAGAAGAGACGACACUGUUCGCUUGUCCCCUGAUUGAAAACCCAGGACACUGUCGAAAAAUGUGGAUAGUCUUCUCUUCAUUAAGACGACACCUAGGACAUCGAGUUUCAACAACUACUCAUUUAGACUUAAGAAUAGCAAAAGUAGGGAUGUAGUUCCAGGAAAUUUUCCAGACUGUAAUUUUGAUUUUUGAAGGGAUGUGUAGAUUCCACAGUUUCCUGUAAAAAGUUUUAUUCUCGACCUGUAAAUUAUUAUUACUAAGAACUAGUGUAGUCCUUUGUAAUAGUUUAUAAGCACUUCUAACCGAGAAACUUUCAUAUGGUUCCCCUCCCCAUA